Molecule: non-coding RNA, 73 nt
Organism: Stegodyphus dumicola
Lineage: Eukaryota; Metazoa; Arthropoda; Arachnida; Araneae; Eresidae
Source: the annotation of a RefSeq genome assembly
GCCUUCGUGGUGUAGUGGUCAGCAUGCUCGACGUGAAAUCAAGAGGUCCUUGGUUCGAGUCCAGGCGAGGGCA